CCUGGUUGAUCCUGCCAGUAGUAUAUGCUUGUCUCAAAGAUUAAGCCAUGCAUGUCUCAGUGCAAGCCACAUUAAGUUGAAACCGCGAAUGGCUCAUUACAUCAGUUAUGGUUCCUUAGAUCGUACCCACAUUACUUGGAUAACUGUGGUAAUUCUAGAGCUAAUACAUGCAAAUAGAGUUCCGACCAGAGGUGGAAGGAAUGCUUUUAUUAGAUCAAAACCAAUCGGUGGCGGGCUUGCCUUGCUCACCGUUUGACUUGGUGACUCUGAAUAACUUUGUGCUGAUCGCACGGUCUAGUACCGGCGACGCAUCUUUCAAAUGUCUGCCUUAUCAACUGUCGAUGGUAGUUUCUGCGACUACCAUGGUUGUUACGGGCAACGGGGAAUCAGGGUUCGAUUCCGGAGAGGGAGCCUGAGAAACGGCUACCACAUCCAAGGAAGGCAGCAGGCGCGCAAAUUACCCACUCCCGGCACGGGGAGGUAGUGACAAAAAAUAACGAUACGGGACUCAUCCGAGGCCCCGUAAUCGGAAUGAGUACACUUUAAAUCCUUUAACGAGGAUCUAUUAGAGGGCCAGUCUGGUGCCAGCAGCCGCGAUAAUUCCAGCUCUAAUAGUUGAAUCUGUGUCCCACACUGUCGGUUCACCGCUCGCGGUGUUCAACUGGCAUGCCUGUGGGACGUCCUCCCAGUGGGCUUAGCCCGUCAAAAGGCGGCCCAACUCAAAAUCCUACCACGGUGCUCUUCACCGAGUGUCGAGGUGGGCCGGUACGUUUACUUUGAACAAAUUAGAGUGCUUAGAGCAGGUUCAUUCGCCUGAAUAUUGUGUGCAUGGAAUAAUGGAAUAGGACCUCGGUUCUAUUUUGUUGGUUUUCGGAAUUCCGAGGUAAUGAUUAAUAGGGACAACUGGGGGCAUUCGUAUCGCGACGUUAGAGGUGAAAUUCUUGGAUCGUCGCAAGACGGACAAAAGCGAAAGCAUUUGUCAAAUGUGUUUUCAUCAAUCAAGAACGAAAGUUAGAGGUUCGAAGGCGAUCAGAUACCGCCCUAGUUCUAACCAGCUAGCGAUCCGCCGAAGUUCCUCCGAUGACUCGGCGGGCAGCUUCCGGGAAACCAAAGCUUUUGGGUUCCGGGAGAAGUAUAGUUGCAAAGCUAAAACUUAAAGGAAUUGACGGAAGGGCACUACAAGGAGUGGAGCCUGCGGUUUAAUUUGACUCAACACGGGAAACCUCACCAGGUCCAGACACCGGAAGGAUUGACAGUUUGAGAGCUCUUUCUUGAUUCGGUGGGUAGUGGUGCAUGGCCGUUCUUAGUUGGUGGAGUGAUUUGUCUGGUUAAUUCUGAUAACGAACGAGACUCUAGCCUGCUAAAUAGACGUACUUUCUGGUAUCGCAAAGACCCCCCGCUUCGUUGGUUGUGGUUCUCACUACCGGCGUACAAAUAUAUCUUCUUAGAGGGCAGGUUUUCCUUGGCCGAAAGGUCCGGGUAAUCCGUUGAAGCCUCUUCGUGCUAGGGAUUGGGGCUUGCAAUUCUUCCCCAUGAACGAGGAAUUCCUAAUAAGCGCGAGUCAUAAGCUUGCGUUGAUUAUGUCCCUGCCCUUUGUACACACCGCCCGUCGCUACUACCGAUUGAAUUAUUUAGUGAGGUCUUCGGACCGGUGCGCGGCAGCGUUUCGACAUUGCCGAUGUUGCUGGGAAGAUAACCAAACUUGAUUAUUUAGAGGAAGUAAAAGUCGUAACAAGGUUUCCGUAAAUGAACCUGCGGAAG
RNAcentral lists this ribosomal RNA (1761 nucleotides) under Ctenocephalides felis (cat flea). RNAcentral describes it as "SSU rRNA". It matches the Rfam family "Eukaryotic small subunit ribosomal RNA". The record is from RNAcentral. Lineage: Eukaryota; Metazoa; Arthropoda; Insecta; Siphonaptera; Pulicidae.